RNAcentral lists this ribosomal RNA (506 nucleotides) under uncultured bacterium. RNAcentral describes it as "partial 16S ribosomal RNA". It matches the Rfam family "Bacterial small subunit ribosomal RNA", at positions 29 to 523 of the family's 1533-position model. The record is from RNAcentral.
AGUGAACGCUGGCGGUAGGCCUAACACAUGCAAGUCGAACGGCAGCACAGGAGAGCUUGCUCUCUGGGUGGCGAGUGGCGGACGGGUGAGGAAUACAUCGGAAUCUACUCUGUCGUGGGGGAUAACGUAGGGAAACUUACGCUAAUACCGCAUACGACCUACGGGUGAAAGCAGGGGACCUUCGGGCCUUGCGCGAUUGAAUGAGCCGAUGUCGGAUUAGCUAGUUGGCGGGGUAAAGGCCCACCAAGGCGACGAUCCGUAGCUGGUCUGAGAGGAUGCACAGCCAAACUGGAACUGAGACACGGUCCAGACUCCUACGGGAGGAAGAAGUGGGGAAUAUUGGACAAUGGGCGCAAGCCUGAUCCAGCCAUACCGCGUGGGUGAAGAAGGCCUUCGGGUUGUAAAGCCCUUUUGUUGGGAAAGAAAUCCAGCUGGCUAAUACCCGGUUGGGAUGACGGUACCCAAAGAAUAAGCACCGGCUAACUUCGUGCCAGCCGCCGCGGUAA